RNAcentral lists this unclassified non-coding RNA (534 nucleotides) under Hevea brasiliensis (rubber tree). Lineage: Eukaryota; Viridiplantae; Streptophyta; Magnoliopsida; Malpighiales; Euphorbiaceae. The record is from RNAcentral.
GCAAAUCAUGUGGGGAAAGAUCCAUUCUAUCUCUUUCUAGUUACCCUAAUGCAUAUGGACUAAUAUUUUCAUCGGAAAAGAUGAUCGACUUGGUCUUUCGGUUGAUUGAAAUGCCCAGCAAUGGUAACAAUAACUAGUAGGCUUCUUACUCCAAUCACCCUUCAAUUUGGGGUUGAAAUGGACAAUUCUCGGUGAUUCCUCUCCAUCAAUGGUCUGCUAUAAACUCCAUCAACUACCCUACUUUCUUCAACUACUUUCUCUGUUAAAGCCAAUUUAUGAACAUUUCAAUGGUCUUCACGUCAACUUCAUAAUGCUUUUGUAUAAAUUCAACAAGCAUGGGAGAAGCUGGCUAUGCUUUUGUUUAAAUUCAAAAUGGUGACUCCACUAGUUAGAACACAAAAAAAGGUGAAAAGUUGCCUUUGUCUUUUGUUGUUCAAUUUAGCUAUAUGCAAGCAACCCUUGCAUCUCCCGUUUGAAAUAACAUCUUAAUUCUUCUUUUGGUUCUAAUCUCUUUUUAUUGUGUGUGUGUUUGUG